Molecule: ribosomal RNA, 490 nt
Filed under: Cardiobacterium sp. canine oral taxon 176
Lineage: Bacteria; Pseudomonadati; Pseudomonadota; Gammaproteobacteria; Cardiobacteriales; Cardiobacteriaceae
Description: bacterial SSU rRNA
Rfam family: Bacterial small subunit ribosomal RNA
Source: RNAcentral
GAGUUUGAUUCUGGCUCAGAUUGAACGCUGGCGGCAUGCCUAACACAUGCAAGUCGAACGGCAGCGGGGGAUAGCUUGCUAUCCUGCCGGCGAGUGGCGGACGGGUGAGUAAUGCAUGGGAAUCUGCCUUUUGCUGGGGGAUAACGUAGGGAAACUUACGCUAAUACCGCAUAAGACCUUAUGGUGAAAGCGGGGGAUCUUCGGACCUCGCGGCGAGAGAUGAGCCCAUGUUGGAUUAGCUGGUUGGUGGGGUAAAGGCCUACCAAGGCGACGAUCCAUAGCUGGUCUGAGAGGAUGAUCAGCCACACUGGGACUGAGACACGGCCCAGACUCCUACGGGAGGCAGCAGUGGGGAAUAUUGGACAAUGGGGGCAACCCUGAUCCAGCAAUGCCGCGUGUGUGAAGAAGGCCUUCGGGUUGUAAAGCACUUUCAGCAGGGAGGAAUAGAUAAUGGUUAAUACCCGUUAUUGUGACGUACCUGCAGAAGAGC